Molecule: ribosomal RNA, 1031 nt
Filed under: Tridentisis candelabrum
Lineage: Eukaryota; Metazoa; Cnidaria; Anthozoa; Scleralcyonacea; Keratoisididae
Description: 12S ribosomal RNA
Rfam family: Bacterial small subunit ribosomal RNA
Source: RNAcentral
CUCCUUUGACCUUGGGGAGUCUAUAAGGCAAUGUGUUCUUCUAAUACAUGCAAGGCCCUGUAACUAUAGGGUCCUACUGGUGAGGAUAAAACGGAGAUCAUCUCGGUUAACGUAUUAGAAUAGGCGGGAUAGUGGCCCACCUGGUCGAAGAUGCGUAGUAUAGCCACACUUUCACUGUAACAAGGGGAAGACAUUUUGGCAGCAGUAGAGAAUCUUGUGCAAUGGGUAAAACGCUUGACACAGGGUUUCACACCGAGGUCUGUCUAACUAAGUGCCAGCAGACGCGGUUAAACUUAGAGGGCCCCAGUUUUUAAUUUCGCAUUAGGCGUUAAAGUAUGUAGUGAAGCAUGAGGACAAAGUAAGGUAAACCUCUUGGUAACGGUGAAAUGUUUGAAGCAAGAGUGGAAGUCCGAAGGUGGAGACUCCUUACUCCGUUCAUGGUACGUCUUCAUGAAAUACGAAAGCUUGGAUAGCAAACAGGAUUAGAUACCCUGGUAGUCCUUGCCCUAAACUUAUACAAUAGCUUUAUUAGCGAAUAACCUUAUUGUAUGCCUGAAUACUAUGAUCGCAAGAUUGAAACUCAAAAGGCUUGGCUGUUCACUGUUUGAAUCAGAGGAGCGUGUAAUUUAAUACGAUGAUCCGCGUGUCACCUUACCUUUCCUUGAAAGCGGUGUAAGCCGCUCAGGCAUUGCAUGGCCGUCGUCAGGAUAACAAUAAAUGUUAUCCUUAACCCUAUUAUGGAUUAAGUCAGGUGUCAUGGUCUUUAUGGAAAGGGAUAUUAUGCGCUACAUUCUCCUACACAAUAUAUAUAUAGUAAAUUAGGAGGCGGAGAUUCUCUGAAAUGGGAAUCUUAAGUAGGAUUUGAUAGUAAUCGGGAAGUAGAGCGUUCCGGUGAAUUAGAACCCAGUGUUAGCACAAAUCGCCCGUCGUCCCCUUCAAGUUAAGGAUACGAGACGCCCCGUCGAAGGUUAUCCCUCCUUUUCGAGAAUGGGUAAGUCGUAACAUAGUAAGGGUAAGGGAACUUGUUCUUG